GGAAAUCCUAAUGACAGUCUCCAAAUUCGCCUCCAUCUGUACCAUGGGCGCCAAUGCUUCGGCAUUAGAGAAAUAGAUUGGUCCAGAACAGUUUCCGGUCAACGAGCAUUAUUUUGGAUUAGUCAAUUUUGGGAAUACCUGCUACUGCAAUUCAGUUCUUCAAGCACUUUAUUUUUGUCGUCCGUUUCGGGAAAAAGUUCUUGCAUAUAAGAGUCAACCUAGGAAAAAGGAGAGCUUUCUUACAUGCUUAGCAGAUCUCUUCCACAGCAUAGCCACUCAGAAGAAAAAGGUUGGAGUAAUACCUCCGAAGAAGUUCAUCACAAGAUUACAGAAAGAAAAUGAGCUUUUCGACAACUACAUGCAACAAGAUGCCCAUGAAUUCUUAAAUUACCUACUAAAUACAAUUGGUGAUAUUUUACAAGAAGAGAGAAAGCAGGAAAAACAAAAUGGUCGCUAACCUAAUGAUAAUAUUGAUAAUGAAAAUAAUAGCAGCACACCAGACCCAACGUGGGUUCAUGAGAUUUUUCGGGGAACGUUAACUAAUGAAACCAGACGUCUUACUUGUGAAACUAUAAGCAGCAAAGAUGGAGAUUUUUUAGACCUUUCUGUUGACGUGGAACAAAAUACAUCAAUUACUCACUGCUUAAGGGGUUUCAGCAACACAGAAACUCUAUGCAGUUAAUACAAGUAUUACUGUGAAGAGUGUCGCAGCAAACAGGAAGCACACAAACGGAUGAAAGUUUAAAAACUGCCCAUGAUUCUAGCUGUACACUUGAAGAGAUUUAAAUAUAUGGAUCAACUUCAUCGAUAUACAAAACUCUCUUACCGGGUGGUUUUUCCUUUAGAACUUCGUCUAUUUAACACUUCAGGUGAUGCCACCAAUCCAGACAGAAUGUACGACCUUGUUGCUGUUGUGGUUCACUGUGGAAGUGGUCCCAAUCGAGGCCAUUAUAUUGCGAUAGUUAAGAGUCAUGAUUUUUGGUUGUUGUUUGAUGACGACAUUGUAGAAAAAAUAGAUACACAAGCUAUUGAAGAAUUCUACGGGUUGACAUCAGAU
This 1057-nucleotide long non-coding RNA is filed under the name Homo sapiens (human). Its description in RNAcentral is "non-protein coding lnc-TGIF2LX-2:1". The record is from RNAcentral. Lineage: Eukaryota; Metazoa; Chordata; Mammalia; Primates; Hominidae.